Molecule: unclassified non-coding RNA, 520 nt
Filed under: uncultured Glomus
Lineage: Eukaryota; Fungi; Glomeromycota; Glomeromycetes; Glomerales; Glomeraceae
Description: SSU rRNA
Rfam family: Eukaryotic small subunit ribosomal RNA
Source: RNAcentral
AGCAGCCGCGGUAAUUCCAGCUCCAAUAGCGUAUAUUAAAGUUGUUGCAGUUAAAAAGCUCGUAGUUGAAUUUCGGGACCAAUUUGUUGGUCGUGCCUCGGUACGUACUGGUAUUAUUGGUUUCUCCCUUCUGAAGAACCUCGAUGCCAUUAAUUUGGUGUCGUGGGGAAUCAGGACUGUUACUUUGAAAAAAUUAGAGUGUUUAAAGCAAGCAUACGCUUGAAUACAUUAGCAUGGAAUAAUGAAAUAGGACGUUUGAUUCUAUUUUGUUGGUUUCUAGGAUCGACGUAAUGAUUAAUAGGGAUAGUUGGGGGCAUUAGUAUUCAAUUGUCAGAGGUGAAAUUCUUGGAUUUAUUGAAGACUAACUACUGCGAAAGCAUUUGCCAAGGAUGUUUUCAUUAAUCAAGAACGAAAGUUAGGGGAUCGAAGACGAUCAGAUACCGUCGUAGUCUUAACCAUAAACUAUGCCGACUAGGGAUCGGAUGAUGUAAUUUUUUAAUGACUCAUUCGGCGCCUUACG